AUCUAAAAUUAACUUAUAGUUGCAUGAUCAAUUUUAAUCUAUGUGUAUGGUAAGAAUGGAGUGGAAGCUAAACAAAUUCUAAACAAUCACUUAUAACUCUAUAGAAAACUAGAGAUAUUACACAAUCAAGUAUGAGUGUAAGGCAUGAAAUACAAGAGAUAAGGCAUCACAAACACAAAGAUGUAUAGUGGUUCGGUGCACCCCAGCACCUACAUCCACUCCCCAAGACCU
This 231-nucleotide long non-coding RNA is filed under the name Phoenix dactylifera (date palm). Its description in RNAcentral is "long non-coding RNA (PDAC_LNC016039)". The record is from RNAcentral. Lineage: Eukaryota; Viridiplantae; Streptophyta; Magnoliopsida; Arecales; Arecaceae.